Molecule: long non-coding RNA, 1949 nt
Organism: Amphiprion ocellaris (clown anemonefish)
Lineage: Eukaryota; Metazoa; Chordata; Actinopteri; Pomacentridae
Source: Ensembl
CAUGUAUAUCCAGAUUACCAUCUAUGUUCUUCCUCCAAACCCAUUUUAUGAUUGGGAUUACAGGCAGUUCUUUAGGACUGCUCUCAAAUAAUUGAAAUGUUACUAAACAAGGUUAUACUUAUCAAAUUAAGUAGCUCUGGUCUCCAGUAUUUUGGCGAAUUCGGUUCUUUGUACUUAAUUUAUUAGCAUGAUUUUUAAUAUGUUGUGUACAGACUUAAUUACUUCUCUGUCUACUUUUCUUACUCCAUGUAGGUUUCCCAGAGACUAUGGGUUGAGGAGGAAGUGGAAGUUUGUCGGCUUAGACCUGGUGUCAUUCCAUCAGUGUUAAACUUCCCAGCUCAUCUUGGAAGAGUACGUGCCAGAAAGACCAUGACCAAGCAGCCUUGAGCGUCUCCCUGAGGUCCCUCUCUAUCUCCCUACACAUCCACCAACCACUGGAACACAUCUCCAAAGUUCUGCCAGGCCAGCUCAGCUUCCCCUCAGAAGAAGUGGCGCCACCUGCCAGAUGAAGGAGCCUUUUGAGAGGCAGCUGGCAUCGUGAUUGGACUGUACUUUGGUCUGUUCCAAUCCAGCUUCAGCUCCAGAGACGGCAGGCGGGACGAGUCAACGGAGGCCUGGUGGACGAAGGCAUGCAGCUGAGUACAAUCCAGAAAACAACAGAGGAGGAGUGCAGCAGCCAGAACAACCAGAGUAGCAUCACCAAAGAACUACAGACUCUUCACAACCUGCUCAAACUCUUGGUACAGGACCUCACCACACGGGUCAAGAAGGUUGCUUUGUAGAACUGUUCCAGAAAACCUCACUAAACCACAUGGAGGGGCCUCAAGAUAGUCGUCCAAAUGAAACCAUACAAAAACCAAACUAGAAUAACCCAAAUGCUAAAGUCUCCUGCAGCCUACCAGAGAACCUCUGAGAACAGAGAAUCAAGACAGGAACUCUUACCUUCUGGACAACCAACGUUGCUUCACAAACAAGAAUACAGAAUGUGUCUGACCAAAAACCUCUGAAGACUCACUACAGCCAAGAUAAAGACACAACUCAGCUGAAUCAAAUCCACUAAUUAGCACCAUGUGCUAACUGUGGCUGAAGAACCACAUUUACCAAGACAACUAUCCAGUACAAAGCCCUAAAACACACCAAGAAACACAUUAAAGUCUAUUUUACUGCUGGAAGCUGCAAGCCAACGCCUAAAGAACAAACUAAAGCAAUGGAGCCAAACCCAGUUCACUGGUGAAGAGAAACAGAGGAAAUGUUUGUCUGCAGCUAAAUAAAGCAGGAAGACACUGAGCUGCUCAAGUGUUCCUGAUAACACCAAGCUGCUCAGGUGUUCCUGAUAACACCAAGCAGCCACCUGGACAGCCAAUAGGAACACAGCUUCCUGGAAGUCCAGAGGGCUGGGUUAGUCAAGGAAAUUUAGUUUAAAGUUGAAGCAAAAAGUUAACAAAGAAAGUUGAAAACCACCUUCUGAUCCCUGAAAUCUCUGAGUUUUCACACAAAGAACACCUGAACAUGUCAAACUGGUUCCAUAAUAGAACCAUCAUUGUAAAAACGUCAUAGUAUGGUAUGUUGCUCUAAAAACAUUAGGACCCAGCUGUCAGGGGACAAACAUGUAAGAAACAUGAGAACAGAGAGAACCCAACCAGUAGGUCACAGUUUAUCAUCCCCCAGUCAUCUCCUGAAGUCCAUAUGGUGAGAGACAUCAGUAUCUGGUUGUUAAUUUACACUCUAAAAAGAAUUUACUUGAACCAACUUAAAAAAGUGUUUCAAUUGAUAACAACUAAUAUAAUAAGUAUUUUAACUUAUUUCUUUAGGUUGAACCAAACUUACAUUUUUAGUCAGAUUAAAGCAAAAAAUUCAGUCAUUUUUUUCUUUUAUAUUACUUUAUUUUAACUUAAAAAGAUAUAUAAAACCUACUUAAUAAUUUCAGAAAAUUACACUUAAAACUCAAC